GACGAACGCUGGCGGCGUGCUUAACACAUGCAAGUCGAACGGAAAGGCCCUGCUUUUGUGGGGUGCUCGAGUGGCGAACGGGUGAGUAACACGUGAGUAACCUGCCCUUGACUUUGGGAUAACUUCAGGAAACUGGGGCUAAUACCGGAUAGGAGCUCCUGCUGCAUGGUGGGGGUUGGAAAGUUUCGGCGGUUGGGGAUGGACUCGCGGCUUAUCAGCUUGUUGGUGGGGUAGUGGCGUACCAAGGCUUUGACGGGUAGCCGGCCUGAUAGGGUGACCGGCCACAAUGGGACUGGGGUAGGGCCCAGACUCCUACGGGAGGCAGGAGUGGGGAAUAUUGCACAAUGGGCGGAAGCCUGAUGCAGCAACGCCGCGUGCGGGAUGACGGCCUUCGGGUUGUAAACCGCUUUCGCCUGUGACGAAGCGUGAGUGACGGUAAUGGGUAAAGAAGCACCGGCUAACUACGUG
This 468-nucleotide ribosomal RNA is filed under the name uncultured bacterium. Its description in RNAcentral is "partial 16S ribosomal RNA". It matches the Rfam family "Bacterial small subunit ribosomal RNA", at positions 28 to 507 of the family's 1533-position model. The record is from RNAcentral.